GACGAACGCUGGCGGCGUGCUUAACACAUGCAAGUCGAACGGAAAGGCCUUGCUUUUGUGGGGUGCUCGAGUGGCGAACGGGUGAGUAACACGUGAGUAACCUGCCCUUGACUUUGGGAUAACUUCAGGAAACUGGGGCUAAUACCGGAUAGGAGCUCCUGCUGCAUGGUGGGGGUUGGAAAGUUUCGGCGGUUGGGGAUGGACUCGCGGCUUAUCAGCUUGUUGGUGGGGUAGUGGCUUACCAAGGCUUUGACGGGUAGCCGGCCUGAGAGGGUGACCGGCCACAUUGGGACUGAGAUACGGCCCAGACUCCUACGGGAGGCAGCAGUGGGGAAUAUCGCACAAUGGGCGGAAGCCUGAUGCAGCAACGCCGCGUGCGGGAUGACGGCCUUCGGGUUGUAAACCGCUUUCGCCUGUGACGAAGCGUGAGUGACGGUAAUGGGUAAAGAAGCACCGGCUAACUACGUG
This 468-nucleotide ribosomal RNA is filed under the name uncultured bacterium. RNAcentral describes it as "partial 16S ribosomal RNA". It matches the Rfam family "Bacterial small subunit ribosomal RNA", at positions 28 to 507 of the family's 1533-position model. The record is from RNAcentral.